Molecule: long non-coding RNA, 255 nt
Organism: Mauremys mutica (yellowpond turtle)
Lineage: Eukaryota; Metazoa; Chordata; Testudines; Geoemydidae
Exons: 2
Source: RefSeq, a predicted model, not a curated record
GAUUUACCUACCUUUGCCCUGUUCGCCUGGCAGUUACAGUCAGGGCCGGCUUUAGGAAGGGCCCGGCCUAAUUCCAACAUUUUCGGAGGGGCCCCGGCAGGGGUGACUAAAAAAAAAAAAGGCGAGUGAGAUAUGGAUAUUGGUCAGUUUCAUUAUCCCAUUUCUGAAUAGAAAACUUUUGUAUGAAGUUGGAGCCUAUUAAAGGAGAGGUUUGGUUUGGUUUUGUUCUUGUUUUGAGUUUUCAAUUAACUUUUU